Molecule: long non-coding RNA, 1631 nt
Organism: Xenopus laevis (African clawed frog)
Lineage: Eukaryota; Metazoa; Chordata; Amphibia; Anura; Pipidae
Exons: 5
Source: RefSeq, a predicted model, not a curated record
GUGUGGGCUGUUUGGGCCUUUGUGUACUUGAAAUGACAGGUCUUUUUAUAAAUCCCACUCCAGGCCUGCCACAGCUACAGGGGUCAUGACUGAAGCAGAAAAAAAGGCUUGGUUCCUACACAUGCAUAGACUGUCCUGGACAUAAGGGAACUCAUACAGUUUUGUUUUUAGACAUAUAUACGCAUUUACUCUGGACAACCAAUAUGGAAUGCAGGUGGUAAAACUAUCGGGGAUUCUAAAAAAUUCGAUUUAUAGUUUAGUUUAUCAGAGGGGGCCCCAGGUUAAUACUGGGCAGUAGCUGGAAAUGUGUCUUCAAAAUUGUGAUCCCACAUGCAUUAUCCUGAACCAGGCAGGCCUGGACACUUUCUGGUCUAGUUAGGUGUAUUGUAAUUAACUAUAUCCUGCAGGGCUCUAUUUUCUUAAUUCUUACUUUUUUGGUUAUGUUGUCUGCUUUUGUCUUUAAGGUUUCUUCAGGUAAAGAACCCCUGGAGCCCUUUACAAUGGAAAGGAAGAUUCUGUGUGAAAGAUGAAAGAAGCUGGACUCUAGAAAUCCUAAACGUUGAUACCAGGACAGCACAGAAAAUUGACAAUGGUAAUAUAGGCAGGGCCAGGCCAAGCCAGCCAGCCCCCUCGCACCCCCUGCACACAUGUACAACCACAGGCACGCGCACGCACAAGAGCACAUUGCCGGCAAGAGAGGACAAGGGUCAUGACUAGGGGUAUUUUCUGGAUAACAUGGGAAGAUCUACGAGUGGGAUCUACUUGAGUGGAAACCAAAGUCUUUUGAAGAAUCCACCUGCAUACACAGUUGUUCAGAAGCACGUUAUAACCUCCAGAAAAUCGAAAUCCUUCCCAGCCUGUCGCCAUUUCCGAUUUUAAAGAGCCUAUUACCCAGCAUUCUAUGAGGUGUGUUAUGGUGUCACUUGGGACUGGCUAACUGCAUGGCCAGUUAAUGUUAUUCUGUGUAGUGAAGACACAUUACAGCAUAUGCAGACAGAUACAAUAAAUUCAUGAUUGCAUAGAUAUUUCCUUUAAGCACAAUUACUUGGGAAAAUAUGAAGGGACAGCAGCAGAAUGUCAGGAGCGCCCGUCUCCAGGGGCAUCGCAUCCAAGAUGGUGGUGCCCAUGACCCACGUGGGACAACCAUGGAGCUCGUAUAGGCAGUACAGUGUUGGCUUUGAAGUCAUUACAGUGUUGACUACAGGAGACCCUGGGCCCUCUGGUUUCCAGAAAAAGAGCAGCGGUGAUUACAGGUGUGGUUUCUGCUACAUGGAACUGGAGAAUAUCCCGGCUGGUGUCUAUAACAUUAUAACUACUACAUUUCUGCCUGCCCAGGAGGGACCCUUCUUUUUAGACUUCAACACCGCAUUAGCCAUUAAGGUGACCCAACUCCAGUGACCCGGGAAUUAAAAUCCGUUCUUCCAAGUGACAAAGAUUUGCAAGCAGAUUCCCAGUUCAAAGAGGCAUGAAAGAUCCUGCAUUUCCCUGAUGUGACAUUGUGCAUCUCCAGUACGGCUCACAGUCUUGUACAAUCAGAAUCUUCAAGGGAGUUGGGUACCACAGACAGCCCAAAUGUAACUUGUACUUGAAUCUUGUUUCAAAGGAUAGUGCUAUAAAACAUAUUUUUUCAA